GCAGUCGCCGCGGGAAUACGGAGGGGGCUAGCGUUGUUCGGAAUUACUGGGCGUAAAGCGCACGUAGGCGGCUUGGUAAGUUAGAGGUGAAGGCCCGGAGCUCAACUCCGGAAUUGCCUUUAAGACUGCCGAGCUAGCAGGUGAGAGAGGUAAGUGGAAUUCCGAGUGUAGAGGUGAAAUUCGUAGAUAUUCGGAAGAACACCAGUGGCGAAGGCGGCUUACUGGCUCAUACUGGACGCUGAGGUGCGAAAGCGUGGGGAGCAAACAGGAUUAGAUACCCCAGUAGUCCCUGUCUCUUAUAC
RNAcentral lists this ribosomal RNA (302 nucleotides) under uncultured bacterium. RNAcentral's name for it is "partial 16S ribosomal RNA". It matches the Rfam family "Bacterial small subunit ribosomal RNA", at positions 508 to 807 of the family's 1533-position model. The record is from RNAcentral.